RNAcentral lists this ribosomal RNA (424 nucleotides) under uncultured bacterium. RNAcentral describes it as "bacterial SSU rRNA". It matches the Rfam family "Bacterial small subunit ribosomal RNA", at positions 361 to 776 of the family's 1533-position model. The record is from RNAcentral.
AUAUUGCACAAUGGACGCAAGUCUGAUGCAGCAACGCCGCGUGUGUGAAGAAGGCUCUUGGGUCGUAAAGCACUUUCGAUUGGGAAGAAGGGGUCGGAUUCAAAUAGGGUUCGAUUCUGACGGUACCUAAAGAAGAAGCACCGGCUAACUCCGUGCCAGCAGCCGCGGUAAUACGGAGGGUGCGAGCAUUGUUCGGAAUUACUGGGCGUAAAGCGCGCGUAGGCGGGUCUUUAAGUCGAUUGUGAAAGCCCUGGGCUUAACCCGGGAACUGCAGUCGAUACUAUUGAUCUUGAAUACCUGAGAGGGUGUCGGAAUUCCCGGUGUAGGAGUGAAAUCCGUAGAUAUCGGGAGGAACAUCCGAGGCGAAGGCGGACACCUGGUGGUGUAUUGACGCUGAGGCGCGAAAGCGUGGGGAGCAAACAGG